UCUGCCCAACCUCUGCUCGCCUGCCUCGGCCCCUGCGGGUGGGGAGAGGGAUCCUCCCCCCUUCCACUUUGCACCAGUCCGAGGGAAUUUGCGGUCGGUGACGCGCAUCCUUAAGCGAGCCACCUGCAGCGCGGGGCGCGCCGCUCUGGGCGGCAUCGCAGGCUGGGCCGGCGCGGCCUGGGGACCCCGGGCUCCGGAGGCCAUGCCGGCGUUGACGCGCCGCGGCGGCCGGCUGCCGCUGCUCGUUGUCUUUUCAGCAAUGAUAUCGGAGACUAUUACAAAUCAAGACCUGCCUGUGAUCAAGUGUGUUUUAAUCAAUCAUAAUAAGAACAGUGGUUCAUCAGUGGGGAUGUCAUCAUCAUAUCCCACGCCAUCAGAAUCCCUGGAGGACCUCGGCUGUGCCUUGAGGCCUGAGAGCACCGAAGCUGUCUACGAAGCGGCCAGCGUGGAAGUAGACAUGGCUGCAUCCAUCACACUGCAAGUGCUGGUCAGCACGCCGGGGGACAUCUCCUGUCUCUGGGUCUUUAAGCACAGCUCCCUGGAUUGCCAGCCACACUUUGAUUCACAAAACAGAGGAGUUGUUUCUAUGUUCAUUUUGAAAAUGACAGAAACCCAAGCUGGAGAAUACCGACUUUUAAUUGAAAGUGAAGCGACCAAUUACACAAUAUUGUUUACAGUGAGUAUAAGAAAUACACUGCUUUACACAUUAAGGAGACCGUACUUUAGAAAAAUGGAAAAUCAGGACGCCUUGGUCUGCAUAUCUGAGAGCAUUCCAGAACCGACUGUGGAAUGGGUGUUUUGCAAUUCACAGAGUGAAAGCUGUAAAGGAAAAAGUGCAGCUGUUGUUACAAAGGAGGAAAGUGUUCUUCAUGAGUUGUUUGGAACAGACAUAAGGUGCUGUGCCAGAAAUGAGCUGGGGAGGGAAUGUACCAAGCUGUUCACAAUAGAUCUAAACCAGACGCCUCAGACCACACUGCCACAGUUAUUUCUUAAAGUGGGGGAACCCUUAUGGAUCAGGUGCAAAGCUGUGCACGUAAACCACGGAUUCGGGCUCACCUGGGAAUUAGAAAAUAAAGCGCUGGAGAAGGGCAGCUACUUUGAGAUGAGUACCUAUUCCAAAAACAGAACUAUGAUACGGAUUCUGUUUGCUUUUGUAUCAUCAGUGGGAAGAAACAACACCGGAUAUUAUACUUGCUCCUCUUCCAAGCAUCCCAAUCAAUCAGCUUUGGUUACCAUCGUAGAGAAGGGAUUUAUAAACGCUUCCAAAACAAGUGAAGAUUAUGAAAUUGACCAGUAUGAAGAGUUUUGUUUUUCUGUCAGGUUUAAGGCAUAUCCACAGAUCAGAUGUACAUGGACCUUCUCGCGAAAAUCAUUUCCUUGUGAACAAAGUGUCCUGGACGAUGGGUACAGCAUAUCUAAGUUUUGCAACCAUCAACACCAGCCAGGAGAAUACAUAUUCCAUGCGGAAAAUGAUGAUGCCCAGUUCACAAAAAUGUUCACGCUGAAUAUAAGAAGGAAACCUCAAGUGCGAGGCGAGGCAUCAACAAGUAACGCUUCUUGUUCCUCUGAUGGAUACCCAUUACCAUCUUGGACCUGGAAGAAGUGUUCCGACAAGUCUUCCAACUGCACAGAAGAAAUCACAGAAGGAAUUUGGAAUAAAAAGGUUAACAGAAAAGUGGUUGGACCGUGGAUAUCCAACAGUAUUUUGAACAUGAGUGAAGCCAUCAAAGGGGCCCUGGUGAAGUGCUGUGCACACAAUUCCUUGGGCACAUCUUGUGAAACGAUCCUUUUACACUCACCAGGCCCCUUCCCUUUCCUCCAGGACAACAUCUCAUUCUACGCAACCAUAGGGCUUUGUCUCCCCUUCAUUGCCGUUUUAACCAUGCUAAUUUGUCACAAGUACAAAAAGCAAUUUAGGUAUGAAAGCCAGCUGCAGAUGGUACAGAUGACCGGUGCUUUGGAUAAUGAGUACUUCUACAUUGACUUCAGAGAAUAUGAAUAUGAUUUCAAAUGGGAGUUUCCAAGGGAAAAUUUAGAAUUUGGCAAAGUGCUAGGAUCAGGUGCUUUUGGAAAAGUGAUGAACGCAACAGCUUAUGGAAUUAGUAAAACAGGAGUCUCGAUCCAGGUUGCAGUCAAAAUGCUGAAAGAAAAAGCAGACAGUUCUGAAAAAGAAGCUCUCAUGUCUGAACUCAAGAUGAUGACUCACCUGGGAAACCAUGAGAAUAUCGUGAAUCUGCUGGGGGCAUGCACACAGUCAGGACCAAUUUACUUGAUUUUUGAAUACUGUUGCUAUGGUGAUCUUCUCAACUAUCUAAGAAAUAAAAGAGAAAAAUUUCACAGGACAUGGACGGAGAUUUUCAAGGAACACAAUUUCAGUUUUUACCCCACUUUCCAAUCACAUCCAAAUUCCAGUAUGCCUGGUUCAAGAGAAGUUCAAGUACAGCAGGACUUGGAUCGUACCUCAGGGUUGAAUGGGAAUUCGUUUCAAUCUGAAGAUGAAAUUGAAUACGAAAACCAAAAAAGGCUGGAGGAAGAAGAAGACUUGAAUGUGCUUACGUUUGAAGACCUUCUUUGCUUUGCUUAUCAAGUUGCCAAAGGAAUGGAAUUUCUGGAAUUUAAGUCGUGUGUCCACAGAGACCUGGCAGCCAGGAAUGUGCUCGUGACCCGUGGGAAAGUGGUGAAGAUAUGUGAUUUUGGAUUGGCUCGAGAUAUUAUGAGCGAUUCCAACUACGUUAUCAGGGGCAACGCCCGCCUGCCUGUGAAGUGGAUGGCUCCUGAAAGCUUAUUUGAAGGGAUCUACACAAUUAAGAGUGAUGUCUGGUCAUACGGAAUAUUACUCUGGGAGAUAUUCUCACUUGGUGUCAAUCCUUAUCCUGGCAUUCCAGUGGACACUAACUUCUAUAAACUCAUUCAGAGUGGAUUUAAAAUGGACCAGCCAUUUUAUGCUACAGAAGAAAUAUACUUUAUAAUGCAAUCCUGCUGGGCUUUUGACUCAAGGAAACGGCCCUCCUUCCCUAACUUGACUUCAUUUUUGGGAUGUCAGUUGGCAGAUGCAGAAGAAGCGGUGUACCAGAACAUGGAUGGCCAUGUUUCGGAGCGUCCUUCCGUCUACCAAAGCAGGAGACCUUACAGCAGACAGGUGGACGCAGGCCUACCCUCUCCACAGGCGCACGCGGAAGAUUCCUAGAGAAACAACAUCAUCUUAAGGACUCAUCCCUCCACCCCGGCUACCUUCAACAGAUUAUCUAUCACCAAACAAGAUUAACAUCAUCACUAAAAGAAAGUAUAUUCUCAACUGCUGCUUUGCUGGACUUUUCUCUAGAAGCUCUCUGUAUUUGCUCUUGUUGUCAAAGGAACUUUUGUAGAAUCGAAUCAGCCUUUUUGCAAGGCAGAAAGAGCUGGCCCAUUCUUUCAUCAGUCUUAAAAGGAUCCAUGACUCCUGCCCCCAGACUAAGAGAAGAAUACCUGAUGUUGGAUGUCUGCUGUCCUCUCUGCAGCUCUCCUUUGAAGCAGUUCCUUUCGUCAUCCUUUGAAGCUUAGCAUCCUCCAUCCCACAGGCUUAUAAAGUUGGACGUGUUCUUGUCCUUACAUGCCAGGUGUAGUUCUUGGUGAAGAACUUGGUGAAGUUUUGUCUUUUCUUUCUUCCUUCCCUCCUCUUCUCCUCCUCUUUUCCUCCUCCUCCAUCUUCUCCUCCUCCUCCUCAUCCUCCUUUUCCUCUUCAUCCUCCUCUCUCUCUCUCUCUCUCUCUCUCUCUAUCUCUGUCUCUCUCCCUCUCUUCACCGAGGCUGGAAUUCUCUCUCCACCACUUUUUAGCUGUGCAACAUUGGGCAAGGAACUGGCCUCAGUUUCCUCUUCUGGAAAAUGGGAUAAUAAAAAUGGGAUAAUAAUGGCACCUAUUUUACAGGGUUGUGAAAAUUAGAUGAGUUACAUAUAUUGUAUAUGAAUGUCAUAAACAUAUACAUGUAUUACAUAAACAUAAAAAUCACUUAGAUCAAUGCUUGGUCCAUAAAUAUAAUCUAAUUAUUAUCAUUUGCGCUUUGCUUUCUGGUUUUAAUCCUUUACUGUGAACCAGGCCACCAUAAACUCACUUAGAUUACACUAAUCCCUUCUCCUAAUCUCUCCAUCAUCCAGUGUUUUCUCUGAGCCCCCAACAGAUUCAUCACCCUAAAGUAUUGAUUUGCAUCUAUCACUGAGCUGGGAGCUUUCGGGGCCCCCCAUAGCCAGUUCCAUUGAGUUUCUCCUAUUAGAUGACAGAACACUGUCACUCUAGCCAAAACCUUGCUCCUGUUCACUGGGCAUGUCUCUAGCGUUCCCAUCUCCAGUUUUUCUUUUCUUCACCCUCUCUCUAUCUGGGAUGGGAACUCCCUUAUCCUCUCCCGAUUUAAGUCCUUGCUUUGUGACCAGGCUAGAGCUCCAUGUUCUCCUCCGGUCUUUCUCAGCUCCACCAGAGGCGGCUCCCCCACUGACAUCUUGUAAAGGCUUUGAGUCUAUACCAUCUGAUUGGCUCUGAACAUGGAGUCUAUCUAUCUACCUUAUGUGGUAAUUUAUCUUCUUAAAUAAACAUCCUCUCUUUUUACUUGAAUUUUAAGAAGUUUGAAAGUAGAUAUGAUGUAUGCCAAGUUGUAUGUCUAAUUCCUAUUUGUGUAUACAGUCGGGACACAAUAAAUAUAUGUAUUCAAUUAUUUCUUACCUACACAACUUAAAGUAUGAAACAUACUUGAUAUUAAAAAUUCAGAUGAUUUUAUAUUUUUACUUAUACUGAUAAGUGAAAUUUCCCCAUUAUGCACCCAAAUUCCAAAUUCUUCAGGGGAACUACUGUUAAAAUUUUAGGUAUAUUUUCUCCAUCUUUUUCUU
This is an RNA transcript of Rhinolophus ferrumequinum (greater horseshoe bat), 4854 nucleotides long. It is a transcript of the gene named fms related receptor tyrosine kinase 3, with no coding region annotated. The record is from RefSeq and is a predicted model, not a curated record. The transcript has 25 exons. Lineage: Eukaryota; Metazoa; Chordata; Mammalia; Chiroptera; Rhinolophidae.